GACGAACGCUGGCGGCGUGCUUAACACAUGCAAGUCGAACGGAAAGGCCCUGCUUUCGUGGGGUGCUCGAGUGGCGAACGGGUGAGUAAGACGUGAGUAACCUGCCCUUGACUUUGGGACAACUUCAGGAAACCCGGGCUAAUACCGGAUAGGGGCUCCUGCUGCAUGGCGGUGGUUGGAUCGUUUCGGCGGUUGAGGAUGGACUCGCGGGUCAUCAGCUUGUUGGUGGGGUAGUGGCUUACCAAGGCUUUGGCGGGUAGCCGGCCUGACAGGGUGACCGGCCACAUUGGGACUAAGAUACGGCCCAGAAUGAUAAGGGAGGCAGCAGUGGGGAGUAUUGCACAAUGAGCAGAAGCCUGAUGCACCGACGCCACGUGAGGGGUGACGGCCAACGGGUUGUAAACCACUUUCGCCUGUGACGAAGCGUAAGUGACGGUAAUGGGUAAAGAAGCACCGGCUAACUACGUG
This 468-nucleotide ribosomal RNA is filed under the name uncultured bacterium. Its description in RNAcentral is "partial 16S ribosomal RNA". It matches the Rfam family "Bacterial small subunit ribosomal RNA", at positions 28 to 507 of the family's 1533-position model. The record is from RNAcentral.